CUUAAGCUUUUCUUCCUCGUCUCUCUUCUGCAGAAGAACAUGAAAGGAGAAGAUCUGCUUCUUUCUAGCUAGAUUUAGAUAUAUCUGUGUAACUUGAGAUCUGAACCAAAAUGGGGACAGCUACUUGCUUGGAUUUACUGGUUGCCAUAAUUCUUCCUCCUCUUGGUGUCUUCCUCAAGUUUGGCUGCAAGGUGGAGUUUUGGCUCUGCCUUUUGCUGACCAUCCUCGGCUACAUCCCCGGGAUCAUCUAUGCCGUCUAUGCCAUCACCAAAUAAUUCAUUUCUCGAUGGGGAAAAGAAGGAAGAAAUAUGUACUAGAUGAAGAUGUUCCCUUUACUGGUGGUAGAAGUGAGGUUUUAACUGAUGUUAAUUGACGGAGCAGCGGUGGAGAUGGAGCAGAGUGACAUUUGAAAUGUGUUUCUGUACUCUCCUCUUCUCUGCUGUAUGAUGGUGCUGCAAUUGUUCGUUUAUAGUAAAGAAAGCACAAAGUUUGGGAAAGAGAAAGUAAAAGCGUUCUCGGUC
Molecule: long non-coding RNA, 521 nt
Organism: Musa acuminata AAA Group (dessert banana)
Lineage: Eukaryota; Viridiplantae; Streptophyta; Magnoliopsida; Zingiberales; Musaceae
Exons: 2
Source: RefSeq, a predicted model, not a curated record